CUAUUUUGUAAUGGAUUGGAUAUGGGGGGUUGCUGGCUUUGAUAAAAAAGUCUGCUCUCCUUAAAUGUAUUAGCUGGUACUAGAUCAUCUAUUAGUGUGAUAAUUAUCUACGCUAUUGGAAUAUCUACUAUGUACUGCUUCAAACUAUUUUUAUAUGACAAUUUGACCUCAAAUCAGGUAGGACUACCCGCUGAACUUAA
Molecule: unclassified non-coding RNA, 200 nt
Filed under: soil metagenome
Description: partial contains internal transcribed spacer 2 and large subunit ribosomal RNA
Source: RNAcentral